Molecule: ribosomal RNA, 468 nt
Filed under: uncultured bacterium
Lineage: Bacteria
Description: partial 16S ribosomal RNA
Rfam family: Bacterial small subunit ribosomal RNA
Source: RNAcentral
GACGAACGCUGGCGGCGUGCUUAACACAUGCCAGUCGAACGGAAAGGCCCUGCUUUUGUGGGGUGCUCGAGUGGCGAACGGGUGAGUAACACGUGAGUAACCUGCCCUUGACCUUGGGAUAACUUCAGGAAACUGGGGCUAAUACCGGAUAGGAGCUCCUGCUGCAUGGUGGGGGUUGGAAAGUUUCGGCGGUUGGGGAUGGACUCGCGGCUUAUCAGCUUGUUGGUGGGGUAGUGGCUUACCAAGGCUUUGACGGGUAGCCGGCCUGGGAGGGUGACCGGCCACAUUGGGACUGAGAUACGGCCCAGACUCCUACGGGAGGCAGCAGUGGGGAAUAUUGCACAAUGGGCGGAAGCCUGAUGCAGCAACGCCGCGUGCGGGAUGACGGCCUUCGGGUUGUAAACCGCUUUCGCCUGUGACGAAGCGUGAGUGACGGUAAUGGGUAAAGAAGCACCGGCUAACUACGUG